UGGGGAAUUUUGGACAAUGGGCGCAAGCCUGAUCCAGCCAUGCCGCGUGCGGGAAGAAGGCCUUCGGGUUGUAAACCGCUUUUGUCAGGGAAGAAAUCUUCCGAGUUAAUACCUCGGGAGGAUGACGGUACCUGAAGAAUAAGCACCGGCUAACUACGUGCCAGCAGCCGCGGUAAUACGUAGGGUGCAAGCGUUAAUCGGAAUUACUGGGCGUAAAGCGUGCGCAGGCGGUUUGUAAGACAGAGGUGAAAUCCCCGGGCUCAACCUGGGAACUGCCUUUGUGACUGCAAGGCUUGAGUGCGGCAGAGGGGGAUGGAAUUCCGCGUGUAGCAGUGAAAUGCGUAGAUAUGCGGAGGAACACCGAUGGCGAAGGCAAUCCCCUGGGCCUGCACUGACGCUCAUGCAC
RNAcentral lists this ribosomal RNA (406 nucleotides) under uncultured bacterium. RNAcentral's name for it is "partial 16S ribosomal RNA". It matches the Rfam family "Bacterial small subunit ribosomal RNA", at positions 355 to 754 of the family's 1533-position model. The record is from RNAcentral.